Molecule: unclassified non-coding RNA, 388 nt
Filed under: uncultured bacterium
Lineage: Bacteria
Description: contains 16S-23S intergenic spacer region
Source: RNAcentral
UCCGAGUUGACCCCGGCAGUCCCCCAUGAGUCCCCAGCCAUCCGAAGAUGCUGCUGGCAACAUGGAGCAAGGGUUGCGCUCGUUGCGGGACUUAACCCAACAUCUCACGACACGAGCUGACGACAGCCAUGCAGCACCUAACCACAGAUUCUCCGAAGAGCACCCCGAUAUUUCUACCAGGUUUCUGCGUUUUCUAGCCCAGGUAAGGUUCUUCGCGUUGCGUCGAAUUAAACCACAUGCUCCACCGCUUGUGCGGGCCCCCGUCAAUUCCUUUGAGUUUCAGCCUUGCGGCCGUACUCCCCAGGCGGGGCACUUAAUGCGUUAGCGCCGGCACCCAGGGGGUCGCUCCCCCAGGCACCUAGUGCCCAUCGUUUACGGCGUGGACUAC